UCUUUUUUUUCUUUUUUAUUUUUAAUUUCUUUAAUUUUCUCAUCCACCCUCUAUAAUCUUCUGUAAGGUUUGAGUUUUGAGGUUUGGACUUUAGAUCUAUCGCUGCAUCUGCUUCUAUUUGGCUGAUUUGCUGAAGAACAAGUUAUUGGGAUACUCGAUAAAUCCAGAUUUAGUAACCCUAAUGAAAGGGCACAGAGGUCUCGUAACUACCCUACCCGAAAAUUUUAGCUUCGAUAAUGGCUCCACAUCAUCCGAUGCUGCCAUAGACACUCAAAUGUCGUGGACACCAUGC
Molecule: non-coding RNA, 292 nt
Organism: Erythranthe guttata (spotted monkey flower)
Lineage: Eukaryota; Viridiplantae; Streptophyta; Magnoliopsida; Lamiales; Phrymaceae
Source: RefSeq, a predicted model, not a curated record